RNAcentral lists this unclassified non-coding RNA (392 nucleotides) under Hevea brasiliensis (rubber tree). The record is from RNAcentral. Lineage: Eukaryota; Viridiplantae; Streptophyta; Magnoliopsida; Malpighiales; Euphorbiaceae.
CUACUUUAUAACUUUCCAUCAAUUUGAAGUACUUAUAAAUAACAUAUAUUUGUUUCUUCUUUCCCAGUUUCAAUCUAUGUUAUUUCAUCCAAUUUUAACUCUUUAGAAGUGAUAUGUCCCAUAACAAUUGAUGUAGCUUCUGAUCCUUUCGUGAUAGAAGGACACUCUAGGUUAUUAAUGGCUGUUAGAGAUUCAUAUCAAAUGAAAGAUGAGCCCAGCUACAAAUAAGAUGACAUUUUCAUUUGAAUGUAUGGGGAAGACUUUGUCCAUGAUGUAUUUUCAUUGAUUUAUGUAUGAUAUACUUUGAAUUAUGAUAUAUACUUUCAAAUUCUUGUUACUUUAGUGCCUAUUUAUGAAAAAUUGGUAAAAUGUGAUUUACACCAAAACUAAUG